This 497-nucleotide ribosomal RNA is filed under the name uncultured bacterium. Its description in RNAcentral is "partial 16S ribosomal RNA". It matches the Rfam family "Bacterial small subunit ribosomal RNA", at positions 28 to 507 of the family's 1533-position model. The record is from RNAcentral.
GAUGAACGCUGGCGGCGUGCCUAAUACAUGCAAGUCGAGCGAACAGACGAGGAGCUUGCUCCUCUGACGUUAGCGGCGGGCGGGUGAGUAACACGUGGAUAACCUACCUAUAAGACUGGGAUAACUUCGGGAAACCGGAGCUACUACCGGAUAAUAUAUUGAACCGCAUGGUUCAAUAGUGAAAGACGGUUUUGCUGUCACUUAUAGAUGGAUCCGCGCCGCAUUAGCUAGUUGGUAAGGUAACGGCUUACCAAGGCAACGAUGCGUAGCCGACCUGAGAGGGUGAUCGGCCACACUGGAACUGAGACACGGUCCAGACUCCUACGGGAGGCAGCAGUAGGGAAUCUUCCGCAAUGGGCGAAAGCUUGACGGAGCAACGCCGCGUGAGUGAUGAAGGUCUUCGGAUCGUAAAACUCUGUUAUUAGGGAAGAACAAAUGUGUAAGUAACUAUGCACGUCUUGACGGUACCUAAUCAGAAAGCCACGGCUAACUACGUG